Molecule: ribosomal RNA, 253 nt
Filed under: uncultured bacterium
Lineage: Bacteria
Description: partial 16S ribosomal RNA
Rfam family: Bacterial small subunit ribosomal RNA
Source: RNAcentral
UACGUAGGGGGCAAGCGUUGUCCGGAAUCAUUGGGCGUAAAGCGCGUGUAGGCGGCUCGGGUAGUCUGGUGUGAGAUCUUUCGGCUCAACCGGAAGCGGUCACUGGAUACUCUCGGGCUUGAAUCUGGAAGAGGAGAGUGGAAUUCCUGGUGUAGCGGUGGAAUGCGCAGAUAUCAGGAGGAACACCAAUGGCGAAGGCAGCUCUCUGGUACAUGAUUGACGCUGAGACGCGAAAGCGUGGGGAGCGAACAGG